Molecule: long non-coding RNA, 1289 nt
Organism: Magallana angulata
Lineage: Eukaryota; Metazoa; Mollusca; Bivalvia; Ostreida; Ostreidae
Exons: 3
Source: RefSeq, a predicted model, not a curated record
UCAGAUUUAGAGUUUAAGUUAAUUUUUUAAAAGUGUACCUGACUAUAUUAUGUGUGUCCAUCAUGAAGCAUUUUACUUGUCUACACUUUGAAUGAAAUUCAGCAUCAAAGGAUAGUAACUUUUCUGCACUCGUGAAUGAAACAUUACCGCCAAAAGAACUGUGAUGUCAUUUUUGACAAAUCCAUCAGAGUAACUUGAUCUUAUGCUAUCAUCAUGGCUGCCUGUAGGAAUAAUACAUUCUCCUGCUGAUGUUCAAACUCGGUGACAUGGCCGUCUCCUAUAUUAUUUGUGAAGAUGAAUAGAACCAUGCAGUUUAUCGGCUCAAGUUAAGGAACAUCUAAGCAGCAUUUUGCGGAAACGGGCUUUUGACGUUAUCAACGAGGUCAGAACUAGAGAACUAAACUGGAACUGAACUAAACAUAGUGACCAAACGCAUUUACUGUGAUUCGUUAUUCAUCUGAUCGGGAAAGGGGAUGAAAAUAGGAGUAAAGAAAACAAAGGAAGAAGAUUGAAGGGAUGUGGAAGUACGAGGGUUGUCCCAAAGUAGCGUAGACAAGUGGCGUUAUUCAGUUAAUCUAAGGCAAAGGAAGAUGAAAUUUGUGCCACAAAGGGUUCAAGAAAUUUGCAUUCAAAUAAUGUUUUAAAAUCGAAUAUUGUUUGAGAUUAAAUUAGUGAAAUGAAAGCAUGUUAGAUCAGAAAUUCUACAUGCGGCGCAAUGUCAAAAACAAAAAGUUAAAAUCAACAUAAUGAAUUGAAAAUUGGGCGGAAAAGUACUUUUCGAAUGAAAAAAUUCAAAUAAAACAUACACCGAUAUUUGAUAAUAAUUCUAUUAUUUACUCAGAAAAUGUUUUGGCUAUAACAAAACUUUUAAAUAUUUUAUAGCGCGUUUUGUGACAAGUUGAAAAGUUAAGUGGUAAUAAAAUGACGUUUUCAGCGUUUAAGGCGGCGCAGCAGUAACUGAUACAAUUUUGUAAAGACCAUGAAAUAAAUCCUAAGCGGCUUUGGAAGUAAAUGAAAUUAACAAAAUCGAUGAGAAAUGCGUUUUGUGAAUAAGUAGUUAAACAACAUUGAAAAUAUUUGAACAAGUAUGAUGACAAUAAGUGGAAAAAAGAAACCCCGAACGAUAUCAAUGGACGUCAAAAUGUUUAACGACACAUUUCGGUAAGACGGACGUUAGACAACAAGUAAUACAGGGAAAGUUUGGAGCCGACAGAUCGUUUGUACUUAGAAAAUAUUUAAAAACAAAACAAAACUAGAAAUAUAUAUUGAAUGUGCACGCAGAGUUACGA